RNAcentral lists this transfer RNA (74 nucleotides) under Deltaproteobacteria bacterium. RNAcentral describes it as "tRNA-Glu". It matches the Rfam family "tRNA". From Rfam's summary of the family: Transfer RNA (tRNA) molecules are approximately 80 nucleotides in length. Their secondary structure includes four short double-helical elements and three loops (D, anti-codon, and T loops). Further hydrogen bonds mediate the characteristic L-shaped molecular structure. tRNAs have two regions of fundamental functional importance: the anti-codon, which is responsible for specific mRNA codon recognition, and the 3' end, to which the tRNAs corresponding amino acid is attached (by aminoacyl-tRNA synthetases). tRNAs cope with the degeneracy of the genetic code in two manners: having more than one tRNA (with a specific anti-codon) for a particular amino acid; and 'wobble' base-pairing, i.e. permitting non-standard base-pairing at the 3rd anti-codon position. Lineage: Bacteria; Pseudomonadati; Myxococcota; Myxococcia. The record is from RNAcentral.
GUUCCCAUCGUCUAGUCCGGUCAGGACACCGGCCUUUCACGCCGAUAACGUGGGUUCAAAUCCCACUGGGAACG